GUCUGUUUGAAGGUUUAAAGAGUCUAGCCUGCCCACUGAUAUUCGUUGAAGGGCCGCGGUAUUCUGACCGUGCAAAGGUAGCAUAAUCGUUAGUUCCUUAAUUGGGAUCUUGUAUGAAUGGUUGGACAAAAGAAAGUCUGUCUCUAUAAUUGAUGUCUAAUUUAACUUUUAAGUGAAAAGGCUUAAAUAAAUCAAGGGGACGAUAAGACCCUAUAAAGCUUAAUAUUUUAAAGCAUUGAACUUAAUUUUAGGUUUAUAAAAGUUUAUUGGGGACUAUUUAUUAUAUUGGGGCGAUAAAAGUAAAAUGACUAGUAACUGCUUUAUAUUAAGACAAAAAUGGUUGGUUAAAAUUAAAUGAUCCCUUGUAAGGAUUAUAAGAUUAAGUUACUUUAGGGAUAACAGCGUUAUUUUUUUUGAGAGUUCUUAUCGAAAAAAAAGUUUGCGACCUCGAUGUUGAAUUAAAAUUUCUUUACAGUUGCAGGAGCUGUAACAGAAGGUCUGUUCGACCUUUAAAUUUUUACAUGAUUUGAGUUCAGACCGGCGUGAG
Molecule: ribosomal RNA, 547 nt
Filed under: Pachygrapsus gracilis
Lineage: Eukaryota; Metazoa; Arthropoda; Malacostraca; Decapoda; Grapsidae
Description: partial 16S ribosomal RNA
Rfam family: Bacterial large subunit ribosomal RNA
Source: RNAcentral